This 406-nucleotide ribosomal RNA is filed under the name uncultured bacterium. RNAcentral describes it as "partial 16S ribosomal RNA". It matches the Rfam family "Bacterial small subunit ribosomal RNA", at positions 30 to 526 of the family's 1533-position model. The record is from RNAcentral.
AUUGAACGCUGGCGGCAGGCCUAACACAUGCAAGUCGAACGAGUGGCGGACGGGUGAGUAAUGUCUGGGAAACUGCCUGAUGGAGGGGGAUAACUACUGGAAACGGUAGCUAAUACCGCAUACCAUCAGUUGUGCCCAGAUGGGAUUAGCUAGUAGGUGGGGUAACGGCUCACCUAGGCGACGAUCCCUAGCUGGUCUGAGAGGAUGACCAGCCCCCCUUGAACUGAGACACGGUCCAUGAUCCUCCCAUACUCAUCAUUUCAUAAUAUUCCACAAUGCUCGCAAGCCUGGUCCAGCCAUGCCGCGUGUAUGAAGAAAACCUUCGGGUUUUAAUGUCCUUUCAGCGGGGAGGCGUUACCCGCAGAAGAAGCACCGGCUAACGCCGUGCCAGCCGCCGCGGUAAUAC